GGUGAACGCUGGCGGCGUGCCUAAGACAUGCAAGUCGAGCGGGGCAGGUUUAUACCUGUUCAGCGGCGGACGGUUGAGUAACGCGUGGGUGACCUACCCGGAAGAGGCGGACAACCUGGGGAAACCCAGACUCAUCCGCCAUGUGGUCCUGUCCUGUGGGGCAGGACUAAAGGGUGGAUAGCCCGCUUCCGGAUGGGCUCGCGUCCCAUCAGGUAGUUGGUGGGGUAAGGGCCCACCAAGGCGACGACGGGUACCGAGUCGGAGAGGAUGGCCGGCCACAGGGGCACUGAGACACGGGGCGAACUCCUACGGGAGGCAGCAGUUAGGAAUCGUCCGCAAUGGACGGAAGUCGGACGGAGCGACGCCGAGUGGAGGAGGAAGGACGUCGGGGUGUAAACUCCUGAACUGGGGACGAAAGGCCGGUGUAGGGGGAUGACGGUACCCAGGUAAUAGCGCCGGCAAACUCCGU
RNAcentral lists this ribosomal RNA (469 nucleotides) under uncultured bacterium. RNAcentral's name for it is "partial 16S ribosomal RNA". It matches the Rfam family "Bacterial small subunit ribosomal RNA", at positions 28 to 506 of the family's 1533-position model. The record is from RNAcentral.